This 253-nucleotide ribosomal RNA is filed under the name uncultured bacterium. RNAcentral describes it as "partial 16S ribosomal RNA". It matches the Rfam family "Bacterial small subunit ribosomal RNA", at positions 524 to 776 of the family's 1533-position model. The record is from RNAcentral.
UACGUAGGGUGCGAGCGUUGUCCGGAAUUACUGGGCGUAAAGAGCUCGUAGGUGGUUUGUCGCGUUGUUCGUGAAAACUCACAGCUUAACUGUGGGCGUGCGGGCGAUACGGGCAGACUGGAGUACUGCAGGGGAGACUGGAAUUCCUGGUGUAGCGGUGGAAUGCGUAGAUAUCGAGAGGAACACCUGCGGCGAAGGCGGGUUGCUGGGCUGACACUGACGCUGAGGCGCGAAAGCUAGGGGAGCGAACGGG